Molecule: ribosomal RNA, 754 nt
Filed under: uncultured bacterium
Lineage: Bacteria
Description: bacterial SSU rRNA
Rfam family: Bacterial small subunit ribosomal RNA
Source: RNAcentral
CGGAUCUGUAAGUCAGUGGUGAAAUCUCAUAGCUUAACUAUGAAACUGCCAUUGAUACUGCAGGUCUUGAGUAAAUUUGAAGUGGCUGGAAUAAGUAGUGUAGCGGUGAAAUGCAUAGAUAUUACUUAGAACACCAAUUGCGAAGGCAGGUCACUAAGAUUUAACUGACGCUGAUGGACGAAAGCGUGGGGAGCGAACAGGAUUAGAUACCCUGGUAGUCCACGCCGUAAACGAUGCUAACUCGUUUUUGGGGUUUCGGCCUCAGAGACUAAGCGAAAGUGAUAAGUUAGCCACCUGGGGAGUACGUUCGCAAGAAUGAAACUCAAAGGAAUUGACGGGGGCCCGCACAAGCGGUGGAUUAUGUGGUUUAAUUCGAUGAUACGCGAGGAACCUUACCAAGACUUAAAUGGGAAUUGACAGCUUUAGAAAUAGAGCUUUCUUCGGACAAUUUUCAAGGUGCUGCAUGGUUGUCGUCAGCUCGUGCCGUGAGGUGUUAGGUUAAGUCCUGCAACGAGCGCAACCCCUGUCGCCAGUUACUACCAUUCAGUUGAGGACUCUGGCGAGACUGCCUACGCAAGUAGAGAGGAAGGUGGGGAUGACGUCAAAUCAUCACGGCCCUUACGCCUUGGGCCACACACGUAAUACAAUGGCCGGUACAGAGGGCAGCUACACAGCGAUGUGAUGCAAAUCUCGAAAGCCGGUCUCAGUUCGGAUUGGAGUCUGCAACUCGACUCUAUGAAGCUGGAAUCGCUAG